RNAcentral lists this transfer RNA (72 nucleotides) under Phrynosoma platyrhinos (Desert horned lizard). RNAcentral describes it as "tRNA-OTHER". It matches the Rfam family "tRNA". From Rfam's summary of the family: Transfer RNA (tRNA) molecules are approximately 80 nucleotides in length. Their secondary structure includes four short double-helical elements and three loops (D, anti-codon, and T loops). Lineage: Eukaryota; Metazoa; Chordata; Lepidosauria; Squamata; Phrynosomatidae. The record is from RNAcentral.
GAGUUAAUGGCAUAGUGGUUUGAGUGUUGGACUACAACUCUGGAGACCAGGGUUCGAUUCCCAGUUCAGUCA